RNAcentral lists this ribosomal RNA (806 nucleotides) under Polymyxa betae. RNAcentral's name for it is "partial ribosomal RNA". The stretch from base 1 to 375 matches the Rfam family "Eukaryotic small subunit ribosomal RNA", at positions 1456 to 1831 of the family's 1831-position model. The record is from RNAcentral. Lineage: Eukaryota; Endomyxa; Phytomyxea; Plasmodiophorida; Plasmodiophoridae.
ACAGGUCUGUGAUGCCCUUAGAUGUUCUGGGCCGCACGCGCGCUACAAUGCUAGGUUCAACGAGUAUCGGACUUGGUCGAGAGGCCUGGUUAAUCUUUUGAAAUCCUAGCGUGCUUGGGCUUGCCUCUUGCAACUAGAGGCACCAACGAGGAAUUCCUAGUAGACGCAGGUCAUCAACCUGCAUCGAUUACGUCCCUGCCCUUUGUACACACCGCCCGUCGCUUCUACCGAUUGGUCGUCCCGGUGAAUGAUCGGGAGGGCGCGCUGCUGACCAGCAAUGGUCACAGUGCGUUCGAACUUUUGUAAAUUUGGUCGACUAGAGGAAGAAGAAGUCGUAACAAGGUUUCCGUAGGUGAACCUGCGGAAGGAUCAUUAGCGUUAUGGGAUUUUGUAAUCCUUUGGUUAAAUGUGGAAUUUGAACAAGUGACUUGGUAAUCUUUACGAAUUGGAAACGUUUGGCUUAUGGAUACAUUUAUAAAAAAUACAACUCUUAGCAAUGGAUAUCUUGGUUCCCACAACGAUGAAGAACGCAGCGAAAUGCGAUACGUAAUGCGAAUUGCAGGACUCAGUGAAUCAUCGAAUCUUUGAACGCAUGUUGCGCUUUCGAGAGCCCUCGGAAGCAUGCCUCUCUGAGUAUCGGUUCCUAUAUCACAUCUUGAUGUGGACAAUGAGAGUCGAUUCGUUCGUCUCUUGAAAUCAUGUCGGCAACCGAAAGUCCAUCGGAUUCUUGGAACGAUAAUCCGCCAUGGCGCCCGAACCAUACAAGAUCUCAGAUGAGGUAAGAUUACCCCCUGAAUUUAAGCAUA